Molecule: ribosomal RNA, 427 nt
Filed under: uncultured prokaryote
Description: bacterial SSU rRNA
Rfam family: Bacterial small subunit ribosomal RNA
Source: RNAcentral
UGGGGAAUUUUCCGCAAUGGGCGCAAGCCUGACGGAGCAAUACCGCGUGAGGGAGGAAGGCUUUUGGGUUGUAAACCUCUUUUUUCAAGGAAGAAGCAAGUGACGGUACUUGAAGAAUCAGCAUCGGCUAACUCCGUGCCAGCAGCCGCGGUAAUACGGAGGGUGCGAACGUUAAUCGGAAUUACUGGGCGUAAAGCGCGCGUAGGCGGUUCGGCAAGUGGGAUGUGAAAGCCCCGGGCUUAACCUGGGAACUGCAUUCCAAACUGCCGGGCUAGAGUAUGGUAGAGGGAGGUAGAAUUUCCUGUGUAGCGGUGAAAUGCGUAGAUAUAGGAAGGAAUACCGGUGGCGAAUGCGGCAUCCUGGACCAAUACUGACGCUGAGGUGCGAAAGCGUGGGGAGCAAACAGGAUUAGAUACCCCCGUAGUCC